This 58-nucleotide ribosomal RNA is filed under the name Ulva sp. BER-2007. RNAcentral's name for it is "partial 28S large subunit ribosomal RNA". It matches the Rfam family "Eukaryotic large subunit ribosomal RNA", at positions 1 to 58 of the family's 3401-position model. Lineage: Eukaryota; Viridiplantae; Chlorophyta; Ulvophyceae; Ulvales; Ulvaceae. The record is from RNAcentral.
CRACCUGAGUKCAGGUGAGGCUACCCGCUGAACUUAAGCAUAUCAGUAAGCGGAGGAA